CGCCAGCCUGACGGAGCCAGACCGCGUGGGGGAGGAAGGCCCUUGGGUUGUAAACCCCUUUUCUCAGGGAAGAAACCUGACGGUACCUGAGGAAAAAGCCUCGGCUAACUCCGUGCCAGCAGCCGCGGUAAUACGGAGGAGGCAAGCGUUAUCCGGAAUUAUUGGGCGUAAAGCGUCCGCAGGUGGCGAUUCAAGUCUGCUGUCAAAGCACGGGGCUUAACUCCGUUAAGGCAGUGGAAACUGAAUAGCUAGAGUGCCGUAGGGGUAGAGGGAAUUCCCGGUGUAGCGGUGAAAUGCGUAGAGAUCGGGAAGAACAUCGGUGGCGAAAGCGCUCUACUGGACGGCACCUGACCCUGAGGGACGAAAGCCAGGGGAGCG
This 378-nucleotide ribosomal RNA is filed under the name uncultured cyanobacterium. RNAcentral's name for it is "bacterial SSU rRNA". It matches the Rfam family "Bacterial small subunit ribosomal RNA", at positions 376 to 770 of the family's 1533-position model. Lineage: Bacteria; Bacillati; Cyanobacteriota. The record is from RNAcentral.